GGGGGAAUCCAAGAUGGUGGUGGAGUAGGUGGAUGUUACACUCACCCCCUCCCAGGACCAAACUGGAAUUACAAUUAAAACAUAGAACCAUCAACCUGAAUAACCCAACCGAAGACAAGCUGAACAGAAGUCUCAUAACCAAGGAUUUACAGAAGAAGCCACAUCAACAUUGAU
Phyllostomus discolor (pale spear-nosed bat) is the source of this 174-nucleotide long non-coding RNA. RefSeq lists it as uncharacterized. The record is from RefSeq and is a predicted model, not a curated record. Lineage: Eukaryota; Metazoa; Chordata; Mammalia; Chiroptera; Phyllostomidae. The transcript is spliced from 3 exons.